UCCCUCGUGGUCCAGCGGUUUAAACUCUGAGUUUCCAACGCAGGGGACCCAGGUUCGAUUCCUGGUCAAGGAA
Molecule: transfer RNA, 73 nt
Filed under: Bos taurus (domestic cattle)
Lineage: Eukaryota; Metazoa; Chordata; Mammalia; Artiodactyla; Bovidae
Also listed under: 4 other names
Rfam family: tRNA
About the family: Transfer RNA (tRNA) molecules are approximately 80 nucleotides in length. Their secondary structure includes four short double-helical elements and three loops (D, anti-codon, and T loops).
Source: Rfam by way of RNAcentral